CAAUUUCUGGUUGAGGAGUAUGGGUGAUUCUGCAAGGUCAAGUGCUCUGAGAUUGGAUCUCCUCUUUCAAGCUGUGAGAGCUAUGUCUGGCUGCUCAUAUCCAAUUCUGACAGUGUCUGAUCAUGCAUACCACAGAACAAGACAUCCAUUAGUCCAUGAAGGAUUACCUAGUGGCUCAAGUACAUGAUCUAGAGAAGGAUGUGGAGGGAGGAAAGAAACAAGCAUGGAAAGACCUACCAGACCCAGAUGGCUGGAUAGGCAAAUCACCGACGUCAACAUCUGAACUGAUAAUGAGACAGGAUGAGGAUGACAUCCUGAAGCCAAGGGACACUCAGUCCUGGGACUCUGCACAGAGGGAUCAUCUGUUGGAUGAAAAGAAAUACAAUAAACACAAGCCAUUAUACAGCUGGAAGAGUCCCCACCUAUGUGAACGUAGCCUGACUCAGUAGUUAAGAACAUACAUUUCUACCAACAAGACUCUGUCCCAAAAAUCAUAGAAUCAUAGAAUUGGAAGAGACCUCAUAUGCCAUUCAGUCCAACCCCCUGCCAAGAAGGAAAAUCGCAUUCAAAGCACCCACAACAGAUGGCCGUCCAGCCUCUGCUUAAAAACCUCCAAAGAAGGAGCCUCCACCACAGUCCGGGGCAGAGAGUUCCACUGCUGAACAGCUCUCACAGUCAAGAAGUUCUUCCUAAUGUUCAGGUGGAAUCUCCUUUCUGACAACAAAUUCUCUACAACAAAUGGCAAAUCAAUCUUUUCCUCACUCCAUGGAGAGAAGACACAUGCAGCAGCACAAUACCAAAUAAGUGUCUGUAAGCCUCAUUUUAUUUGUAUCAUUUGACUCUUUCGCACUAAAGGAAAGUAGGCAUCAAACAUUAAGAGAAAAACUUUGUAUUUCACUGUUUCACUAGAGAUAUUGGGAAGCAAUAUCAUUUUUCCUAAAUCAUGAAAAUGUUUCCUCCUUGCUGUUAGGAUUAAUAUGAACAAGAGGAUGGUCCAUUUUGAACUUGCCAUCAGAGAUAGAACAACAAAUCGUGUCCAUCCAUUGGAGUGCAUAAUAUCCAAGAUUGAUCUUUUUUUUCCCACUCAG
Molecule: non-coding RNA, 1088 nt
Organism: Anolis sagrei ordinatus
Lineage: Eukaryota; Metazoa; Chordata; Lepidosauria; Squamata; Anolidae
Source: RefSeq, a predicted model, not a curated record